UACGUAGGGUGCAAGCGUUGUCCGGAAUUAUUGGGCGUAAAGAGCUCGUAGGCGGUUCGUCGCGUCGGCUGUGAAAACCCGGAGCUCAACUCCGGGCCUGCAGUCGAUACGGGCGGACUUGAGUGUUGCAGGGGAGACUGGAAUUCCUGGUGUAGCGGUGAAAUGCGCAGAUAUCGGGAGGAACACCGGUGGCGAAGGCGGCGACCUGGGACAAUACUGACGCUGAGGUGCGAAAGCGUGGGGAGCAAACAGG
Molecule: ribosomal RNA, 253 nt
Filed under: uncultured bacterium
Lineage: Bacteria
Description: partial 16S ribosomal RNA
Rfam family: Bacterial small subunit ribosomal RNA
Source: RNAcentral